UACGGGGGGAGCAAGCGCUGUUCGGAAUCACUGGGCGUAAAGGGAGUCUAGGCGGUUUGGUAAGUGGGAUGUGAAAUCCCCGGGCUCACCCCGGGACCUGCAUCCCAAACUGCUGAGCUUGAGUACAGGAGAGGGUGGGGGAAUUCCAGGUGUAGCGGUGAAAUGCGUAGAUAUCUGGAGGAACACCGGUGGCGAAGGCGCCCACCUGGCCUGCUACUGACGCUGAAGCUCGAAAGCUAGGGGAGCAAACGGG
RNAcentral lists this ribosomal RNA (253 nucleotides) under uncultured bacterium. RNAcentral describes it as "partial 16S ribosomal RNA". It matches the Rfam family "Bacterial small subunit ribosomal RNA", at positions 524 to 776 of the family's 1533-position model. The record is from RNAcentral.